RNAcentral lists this transfer RNA (77 nucleotides) under Campylobacterota bacterium. RNAcentral describes it as "tRNA-Asp". It matches the Rfam family "tRNA". From Rfam's summary of the family: Transfer RNA (tRNA) molecules are approximately 80 nucleotides in length. Their secondary structure includes four short double-helical elements and three loops (D, anti-codon, and T loops). The record is from RNAcentral. Lineage: Bacteria; Pseudomonadati; Campylobacterota.
GGUUCGGUAGCUCAGUUGGUUAGAGCGCCGCCCUGUCACGGCGGAGGUCGCGGGUUCGAGCCCCGUCCGAACCGCCA